This 229-nucleotide ribosomal RNA is filed under the name uncultured bacterium. RNAcentral's name for it is "partial 16S ribosomal RNA". It matches the Rfam family "Bacterial small subunit ribosomal RNA", at positions 104 to 334 of the family's 1533-position model. The record is from RNAcentral.
CGGGGUGAGUAAUGUAUGGGGAUCUGCCUGAUGGCGGGGGAUAACUACUGGAAACGGUAGCUAAUACCGCAUAAUGUCUACGGACCAAAGCGGGGGACCUCCGGGCCUCGCGCCAUCAGAUGAACCCAUAUGGGAUUAGCUUGUAGGUAAGGUAACGGCUUACCUAGGCGACGAUCCCUAGCUGGUCUGAGAGGAUGAUCAGCCACACUGGGACUGAGACACGGCCCAG